UUUUCCGGUUGAUCCUGCCGGACCUGACUGCUAUCGGAUUGAUACUAAGCCAUGCGAGUCAUUGUAGCAAUACAAGGCAGACGGCUCAGUAACGCGUAGUCAAUCUACCCUAUGGACGGGAAUAACCUCGGGAAACUGAGAAUAAUGCCCGAUAGAACAUUAUGCCUGGAAUGGUUUAUGUUUCAAAUGAUUUAUCGCCAUAGGAUGGGACUGCGGCCUAUCAGUUUGUUGGUGAGGUAAUGGCCCACCAAGACUAUUACAGGUACGGGCUCUGAGAGGAGUAGCCCGGAGAUGGGUACUGAGACACGGACCCAGGCCCUAUGGGGCGCAGCAGGCGAGAAAACUUUGCAAUGUGCGAAAGCACGACAAGGUUAAUCCGAGUGGUUUCUGCUAAAGAAACCUUUUGUCAGUCCUAGAAACACUAACGAAUAAGGGGUGGGCAAGUUCUGGUGUCAGCCGCCGCGGUAAAACCAGCACCUCAAGUGGUCAGGAUGAUUAUUGGGCCUAAAGCAUCCGUAGCUCGUUUUGUAAGUUUUCGGUUAAAUCCAUGCGCUUAACGUAUGGGCUGCCGGGAAUACUGCAUAACUAGGAAGUGGGAGAGGUAGACGGUACUCGGUAGGAAGGGGUAAAAUCCUUUGAUCUAUUGAUGACCACCUGUGGCGAANGCGGUCUACCAGAACACGUUCGACGGUGAGGGAUGAAAGCUGGGGGAGCAAACCGGAUUAGAUACCCGGGUAGUCCCAGCUGUAAACUAUGCAAACUCAGUGAUGCAUUGGCUUAUGGCCAAUGCAGUGCUGCAGGGAAGCCGUUAAGUUUGCCGCCUGGGAAGUACGUACGCAAGUAUGAAACUUAAAGGAAUUGGCGGGGGAGCAC
Molecule: ribosomal RNA, 873 nt
Filed under: uncultured archaeon
Lineage: Archaea
Description: bacterial SSU rRNA
Rfam family: Archaeal small subunit ribosomal RNA
Source: RNAcentral